UGGCAAGGCCAGUUUCUGAGCUUGUGGCA
RNAcentral lists this non-coding RNA (29 nucleotides) under Rattus norvegicus (Norway rat). The record is from RNAcentral. Lineage: Eukaryota; Metazoa; Chordata; Mammalia; Rodentia; Muridae.